UUUACAUUUAAAAUACAGUCGAGUUGUAAAAAAUAUACAUAAAACCACUUUUUUUCAACAAAAAUACCAAUAAUCGCAUGUAAAAUUGAAUACUAUUGAUCCAGGCCAUCGAUGUUUGCCAAAUCUUAAAACCAUCGAUAGUAUCGAUAGUGCUAUCGAUCGUUUUGACCAACCCUACCAGGAUUUUUAUGUGCGAUUAGUACUCAAAGUGGCUUAUCAUUCACAUUUUGUGGUUAGUAAAAAUUUUGACCUUUGAACGAUUGGAUUUUUCUUGAUAAUCGCGAAUCCCUUGUAAUGCGUCUUAGGCUGGGUGCGUACAUAAAUUAGCAGUAAGACGACAUCAGACUCCCCGCUCUUGAAAACUUUUAUCCGGCCCUUUAACAAACCCAGGCCCGCAAAAUCCCCGCAUUGCAAGAAAGGGAAAGAAGUUUGAGGGCCUCUUUUGGCCAACUGGUGCGAUGCGGCAUUGACUGAUUAUGGCUGCCAGCAGGCAAAUAAACACAAAAAGAUCAUAAGACUCCUCACACCCGGUUUGCCGGCCACACAAUACCCUCGAUAAAGUCCAGGAAGGAGCUCACUCGUGUGUAGAGGCCCGGGGUCUUGGUGCCGCAGCCGAGGCCCGCGACGAUUACGCCCAG
Long non-coding RNA from Drosophila subpulchrella, 638 nucleotides. RefSeq lists it as uncharacterized. The transcript is spliced from 3 exons. The record is from RefSeq and is a predicted model, not a curated record. Lineage: Eukaryota; Metazoa; Arthropoda; Insecta; Diptera; Drosophilidae.